GAAUUCGCCCUUAGAGUUUGAUCCUGGCUCAGGACGAACGCUGGCGGCGCGCCUAACACAUGCAAGUCGAACGAGCGAGAGAGAGCUUGCUUUCUCGAGCGAGUGGCGAACGGGUGAGUAACGCGUGAGGAACCUGCCUCAAAGAGGGGGACAACAGUUGGAAACGACUGCUAAUACCGCAUAAGCCCACGGGUCGGCAUCGACCAGAGGGAAAAGGAGCAAUCCGCUUUGAGAUGGCCUCGCGUCCGAUUAGCUAGUUGGUGAGGUAAUGGCCCACCAAGGCAACGAUCGGUAGCCGGACUGAGAGGUUGAACGGCCACAUUGGGACUGAGACACGGCCCAGACUCCUACGGGAGGCAGCAGUGGGGAAUAUUGCACAAUGGGGGAAACCCUGAUGCAGCGACGCCGCGUGGAGGAAGAAGGUCUUCGGAUUGUAAACUCCUGUUGUUGGGGAAGAUAAUGACGGUACCCAACAAGGAAGUGACGGCUAACUACGUGCCAGCAGCCGCGGUAAAACGUAGGUCACAAGCGUUGUCCGGAAUUACUGGGUGUAAAGGGAGCGCAGGCGGGAAGACAAGUUGGAAGUGAAAUCUAUGGGCUCAACCCAUAAACUGCUUUCAAAACUGUUUUUCUUGAGUAGUGCAGAGGUAGGCGGAAUUCCCGGUGUAGCGGUGGAAUGCGUAGAUAUCGGGAGGAACACCAGUGGCGAAGGCGGCCUACUGGGCACCAACUGACGCUGAGGCUCGAAAGUGUGGGUAGCAAACAGGAUUAGAUACCCUGGUAGUCCACACCGUAAACGAUGAUUACUAGGUGUUGGAGGAUUGACCCCUUCAGUGCCGCAGUUAACACAAUAAGUAAUCCACCUGGGGAGUACGACCGCAAGGUUGAAACUCAAAGGAAUUGACGGGGGCCCGCACAAGCAGUGGAGUAUGUGGUUUAAUUCGACGCAACGCGAAGAACCUUACCAAGUCUUGACAUCCCUUGACAGACAUAGAAAUAUGUAAUCUCUUCGGAGCAAGGAGACAGGUGGUGCAUGGUUGUCGUCAGCUCGUGUCGUGAGAUGUUGGGUUAAGUCCCGCAACGAGCGCAACCCUUAUGGUCAGUUACUACGCAAGAGGACUCUGGCCAGACUGCCGUUGACAAAACGGAGGAAGGUGGGGAUGACGUCAAAUCAUCAUGCCCUUUAUGACUUGGGCUACACACGUGCUACAAUGGCGUAAACAAAGGGAGGCAAAGCUGUGAAGCCGAGCAAAUCUCAAAAAUAACGUCUCAGUUCGGACUGUAGUCUGCAACCCGACUACACGAAGCUGGAAUCGCUAGUAAUCGCAGAUCAGAAUGCUGCGGUGAAUACGUUCCCGGGUCUUGCACACACCGCCCGUCA
RNAcentral lists this ribosomal RNA (1381 nucleotides) under uncultured bacterium. RNAcentral's name for it is "bacterial SSU rRNA". It matches the Rfam family "Bacterial small subunit ribosomal RNA". The record is from RNAcentral.